This 269-nucleotide long non-coding RNA is filed under the name Chinchilla lanigera (long-tailed chinchilla). RNAcentral describes it as "lncRNA (ENSCLAG00000027088.1)". The record is from RNAcentral. Lineage: Eukaryota; Metazoa; Chordata; Mammalia; Rodentia; Chinchillidae.
GUGGUGUAACUCUGCAGUCCCCGGCCUUGAGAGUGCAUGGUGCAACAAAACAGAGGCCUCCCCUUGGGACUUUACCAGUGGACAUUCAUUUAGCUUCCAAGACUGUAGCCUGUAAAGGACACAGUUGUCAGGAGGUAGUUGGAAGAAGCCAAAGCUACACCGUGUUUCAAACAGCUGGAGAAUAGCACAAAUACUGGAGAAAAAAAACACAUGCAACAUCCUGUGAGCUGGCGUUUUCAUAGAAUUUAAAAAUAAAUGUCAAGAAACGG